GUAGGUGGCAAGCGUUGUCCGGAAUUAUUGGGCGUAAAGCGCGCGCAGGCGGUUUUUUAAGUCUGAUGUGAAAGCCCACGGCUCAACCGUGGAGGGUCAUUGGAAACUGGAGAACUUGAGUGCAGAAGAGGAGAGCGGAAUUCCACGUGUAGCGGUGAAAUGCGUAGAGAUGUGGAGGAACACCAGUGGCGAAGGCGGCUCUCUGGUCUGUAACUGACGCUGAGGCGCGAAAGCGUGGGGGAGCAAACAGGAUUAGAUACCCUGGUAGUCCACGCCGUAAACGAUGAGUGCUAAGUGUUAGAGGGUUUCCGCCCCCUUUAGUGCUGCAGCAAACGCAUUAAGCACUCCGCCUGGGGAGUACGGUCGCAAGACUG
Molecule: ribosomal RNA, 374 nt
Filed under: uncultured organism
Description: partial 16S ribosomal RNA
Rfam family: Bacterial small subunit ribosomal RNA
Source: RNAcentral